AAGUCGUAACAAGGUUUCCGUAGGUGAACCUGCGGAAGGAUCAUUAUUGAAUAAACCUGGCGUGGUUGUAGCUGGUCCUCUCGGGGACAUGUGCUCGCCCGUCAUCUUUAUAUCUCCACCUGUGCACCCUUUGUAGACCUGGACGAUAACUUUCCGAGGCAACUCGGUCGGGAGGACUGCUGGCUUUCACGAGUCGGCUUUCCUUGUAUUAUCCAGGCCUAUGUCUUACACAUACCCCAAAGAAUGUAACAGAAUGCAUUGUAUAUGGCCUAGUGCCUAUAAACUAUAUACAACUUUCAGCAACGGAUCUCUUGGCUCUC
RNAcentral lists this unclassified non-coding RNA (320 nucleotides) under Agrocybe pediades. RNAcentral's name for it is "partial internal transcribed spacer region". The stretch from base 1 to 46 matches the Rfam family "Eukaryotic small subunit ribosomal RNA", at positions 1786 to 1831 of the family's 1831-position model. The record is from RNAcentral. Lineage: Eukaryota; Fungi; Basidiomycota; Agaricomycetes; Agaricales; Agrocybaceae.